AUGUACUUUGAGCUUUCGAUCCAUCUUAGUAUUCUGGCUUUAAUUCCAUAUAUCUCAAAUAUUCCGCUGCUGGAUUUCAGUGAAGAUCAAUUUGACCCAGCCCAAAUUGGCAAGUGCACCGACCAAUGCUUUAAUUCUCUCUGCUACUUGCUGGUUAUUUAUUAUUUUUGUCUCUUCUUAAUUGAAAGCUUAUUGAUUUCACAAGUUUUACAGCUAGCGCAAGGUAGUAGUAUGAGCAAUUUAACCUUGUCUUGUGUGUAUUAUUUGGUCCUCUUAAUCUCUAAUGUUCUUUUCCCAGCCGAACAAAUCUCUAAUGUUCUUUGA
Molecule: ribosomal RNA, 324 nt
Filed under: Triticum aestivum (bread wheat)
Lineage: Eukaryota; Viridiplantae; Streptophyta; Magnoliopsida; Poales; Poaceae
Description: partial small subunit ribosomal RNA
Source: RNAcentral